Molecule: ribosomal RNA, 251 nt
Filed under: uncultured prokaryote
Description: partial 16S rRNA
Rfam family: Bacterial small subunit ribosomal RNA
Source: RNAcentral
ACGGAGGAUGCGAGCGUUAUCCGGAUUCCUUGGGUUUAAAGGGUGCGUAGGCGGACUAUUAAGUCAGUGGUGAAAUCCUGCAGCUUAACUGCAGAACUGCCAUUGAUACUGAUAGCCUUGAGUUUGGUUAAGGUAGGCGGAAUGUGUAAUGUAGCGGUGAAAGGCUUAGAUAUAACACAGAACACCAAGUGCGUAGGCAGGUGACUGAGCCGGCACGGACGCUGAUGCAGGAAAGCGUGAGGAUCGAACAU